Molecule: ribosomal RNA, 254 nt
Filed under: uncultured bacterium
Lineage: Bacteria
Description: partial 16S ribosomal RNA
Rfam family: Bacterial small subunit ribosomal RNA
Source: RNAcentral
GACAGAGGGUGCAAACGUUGCUCGGAAUUACUGGGCGUAAAGCGCGUGUAGGCGGACCUGCAAGUCGGACGUGAAAGCCCUGGGCUCAACCCAGGAACUGCAUCCGAAACUGCGGGCCUGGAGUGGUGGAGAGGGAAGCAGAAUUCCUGGUGUAGAGGUGAAAUUCGUAGAUAUCAGGAGGAACACCAGUGGCGAAGGCGGCUUUCUGGACGGUAACUGACGCUGAGACGCGAAAGCGUGGGGAGCAAACAGGG